This 292-nucleotide ribosomal RNA is filed under the name uncultured bacterium. RNAcentral's name for it is "partial 16S ribosomal RNA". It matches the Rfam family "Bacterial small subunit ribosomal RNA", at positions 505 to 796 of the family's 1533-position model. The record is from RNAcentral.
GUGUCAGCCGCCGCGGUAAGACGAACCGUGCGAACGUUGUUCGGAUUCACUGGGCUUAAAGGGCGCGUAGGCGGGCCUUCAAGUCAGGGGUGAAAUCCUCCGGCCUAACCGGAGAACAGCCCCUGAUACUGAGGGCCUCGAGGGAGGUAGGGGUCGAUGGAACUUCCGGUGGAGCGGUGAAAUGCGUAGAUAUCGGAAGGAACGCCGGUGGCGAAAGCGAUCGACUGGACCUCUUCUGACGCUGAGGCGCGAAAGCCAGGGGAGCGAACGGGAUUAGAUACCCCCGUAGUCC